RNAcentral lists this ribosomal RNA (408 nucleotides) under bacterium enrichment culture clone ALO1_GLFRUDD03HE1WV. Its description in RNAcentral is "bacterial SSU rRNA". It matches the Rfam family "Bacterial small subunit ribosomal RNA", at positions 9 to 416 of the family's 1533-position model. The record is from RNAcentral.
GAGUUUGAUCAUGGCUCAGAUUGAACGCUGGCGGCAUGCCUUACACAUGCAAGUCGAACGGCAGCACGGGAGCUUGCUCCUGGUGGCGAGUGGCGAACGGGUGAGUAAUGCAUCGGAACGUAUCCUGGAGUGGGGGAUAACGUAGCGAAAGUUACGCUAAUACCGCAUAUUCUGUGAGCAGGAAAGCGGGGGACCUUCGGGGCCUCGCGCUCUUGGAGCGGCCGAUGUCGGAUUAGCUAGUUGGUGAGGUAAAGGCUCACCAAGGCGACGAUCCGUAGCAGGUCUGAGAGGAUGAUCUGCCACACUGGAACUGAGACACGGUCCAGACUCCUACGGGAGGCAGCAGUGGGGAAUUUUGGACAGUGGGGGCAACCCUGAUCCAGCCAUGCCGCGUGAGUGAAGAAGGCC